UUUCCCGUAUUCUUGCCGGAGGUCAUUGCUAUGGGAUCCGUUUAGGCAUGCUAGUCGCACAGUUCAGACUCGUGCGAUAGCUCAGUACACGUGCCAAACUACCUUCGAACACAAUNCCUCGGAAACUGAGGCUAAUAGUGUAUACCAUACCACCACUGGAAUGAGUGGUAUGCCAAACGCUCCGGCGCCGAAGGAUGUGGCUGCGGCCGAUUAGGUAGACGGUGGGGUAACGGCCCACCGUGCCAAUAAUCGGUACGGGUCAUGAGAGUGAGAACCCGGAGACGGAAUCUGAGACAAGAUUCCGGGCCCUACGGGGCGCAGCAGGCGCGAAACCUUUACACUGCACGACAGUGCGAUAGGGGGAUCCCAAGUGCACAGGCAUAGCGCCUGUGCUUUUCGGUACCCUAAGGCGGUACCAGAAUAAGGGCUGGGCAAGACCGGUGCCAGCCGCCGCGGUAAUACCGGCAGCCCAAGUGAUGGCCGAUCUUAUUGGGCCUAAAGCGUCCGUAGCUGGCCGCGCAAGUCCAUCGGGAAAUCCACCUGCUCAACAGGUGGGCGCCCGGUAGAAACUGCGUGGCUUGGGACCGGAAGGCGCGACGGGUACGUCCGGGGUAGGAGUGAAAUCCCGUAAUCCUGGACGGACCGCCGAUGGCGAAAGCACGUCGCGAGAACGGAUCCGACAGUGAGGGACGAAAGCCAGGGUCUCGAACCGGAUUAGAUACCCGGGUAGUCCUGGCCGUAAACAAUGUCUGCUAGGUGUGGCUCCCACUACGAGUGGGUGCUGUGCCGUAGAAAGCCGCUAAGCAGUACC
RNAcentral lists this ribosomal RNA (811 nucleotides) under Halorubrum sp. C43. RNAcentral describes it as "bacterial SSU rRNA". It matches the Rfam family "Archaeal small subunit ribosomal RNA", at positions 1 to 825 of the family's 1478-position model. Lineage: Archaea; Methanobacteriati; Methanobacteriota; Halobacteria; Halobacteriales; Haloferacaceae. The record is from RNAcentral.